AGUGAACGCUGGCGGUAGGCCUAACACAUGCAAGUCGAACGGCAGCACAGUAAGAGCUUGCUCUUACGGGUGGCGAGUGGCGGACGGGUGAGGAAUACAUCGGAAUCUACUUUUUCGUGGGGGAUAACGUAGGGAAACUUACGCUAAUACCGCAUACGACCUACGGGUGAAAGCAGGGGAUCUUCGGACCUUGCGCGAUUGAAUGAGCCGAUGUCGGUUUAGCUAGUUGGCGGGGUAAAGGCCCACCAAGGCGACGAUCCGUAGCUGGUCUGAGAGAAUGGUCGGCCGCACUGGAACUGAGACACGGUCCAGACUCCUACGGGAGGCAGCAGUGGGGAAUAUUGGACAAUGGGCGCAAGCCUGAUCCAGCCAUACCGCGUGGGUGAAGAAGGCCUUCGGGUUGUAAAGCCCUUUUGUUGGGAAAGAAAAGCAGCAGGUUAAUACCCCGCUGUUCUGACGGUACCCAAAGAAUAAGCACCGGCUAACUUCGUG
Molecule: ribosomal RNA, 492 nt
Filed under: uncultured bacterium
Lineage: Bacteria
Description: partial 16S ribosomal RNA
Rfam family: Bacterial small subunit ribosomal RNA
Source: RNAcentral